AGUUGUUUGGAUGAUCUGGCUGGAGAGGUGGGUUUUCCCUUCCUCCCCAACCUCUCCAUGCGCAUCCCUUCUAAAGAUGUACACGUUUUGGAAGAGGAUGACCUUUACCGAUAGAGGAAGACCUUUCUUAGGUUGCGGGUAUGAGUAGCUGUACAACCCUGAGAGAAUCUCUAAACAAGCUCUCAAAGCACAUGUGUAGCUUUCUUUGGGGUGUAGUAUAAGGUUAAUUUUGUAUUCAGCUUUUGCU
Molecule: unclassified non-coding RNA, 247 nt
Organism: Marmota marmota marmota (Alpine marmot)
Lineage: Eukaryota; Metazoa; Chordata; Mammalia; Rodentia; Sciuridae
Gene: 7SK
Rfam family: 7SK RNA
About the family: 7SK was discovered as an abundant small nuclear RNA in the mid-70s but a possible function has only recently been suggested.
Source: Ensembl